RNAcentral lists this ribosomal RNA (490 nucleotides) under uncultured bacterium. Its description in RNAcentral is "partial 16S ribosomal RNA". It matches the Rfam family "Bacterial small subunit ribosomal RNA", at positions 29 to 507 of the family's 1533-position model. The record is from RNAcentral.
AUUGAACGCUGGCGGCAGGCCUAACACAUGCAAGUCGAACGGUAACAGGAAACAGCUUGCUGUUUCGCUGACGAGUGGCGGACGGGUGAGUAAUGUCUGGGAAACUGCCUGAUGGAGGGGGAUAACUACUGGAAACAGUAGCUAAUACCGCAUAACGUCGCAAGACCAAAGAGGGGGACCUUCGGGCCUCUUGCCAUCGGAUGUGCCCAGAUGGGAUUAGCUAGUAGGUGGGGUAACGGCUCACCUAGGCGACGAUCCCUAGCUGGUCUGAGAGGAUGACCGGCCACAAGGGAAAGGAGACACGGAGUGGACACCUAGGGAAGGGACAGGUGGGGAAUAGGGGAGAAGGGGGGAAGUCCGGAUAAAGCCAGGCGGAGGAGGAGAAGAAGGAACUCGGAUUGGAAAGACCCGGUGGGGGGAAAGAAAAGAAGCAGGCUAAUACCCCGAUGCCAGGACGGUACCAAAAGAAGAAGCACCGGCUAACGUCGUG